Molecule: ribosomal RNA, 229 nt
Filed under: uncultured bacterium
Lineage: Bacteria
Description: partial 16S ribosomal RNA
Rfam family: Bacterial small subunit ribosomal RNA
Source: RNAcentral
CGGGGUGAGUAAUGUAUGGGGAUCUGCCUGAUGGCGGGGGAUAACUACUGGAAACGGUAGCUAAUACCGCAUAAUGUCUGCGGACCAAAGCGGGGGACCUCCGGGCCUCGCGCCAUCAGAUGAACCCAUAUGGGAUUAGCUUGUAGGUAAGGUAACGGCUUACCUAGGCGACGAUCCCUAGCUGGUCUGAGAGGAUGAUCAGCCACACUGGGACUGAGACACGGUCCAG